Molecule: microRNA precursor, 82 nt
Filed under: Echinops telfairi (small Madagascar hedgehog)
Lineage: Eukaryota; Metazoa; Chordata; Mammalia; Afrosoricida; Tenrecidae
Description: miRNA (ENSETEG00000023685.1)
Source: RNAcentral
UGUGUGUGUGUGUGUGUGUGUGUGUGUGUGUGUGUGUGUGUGUCGCUCCUCCAUACUCACAGACACAAGCACACGGCACCCU